RNAcentral lists this ribosomal RNA (302 nucleotides) under Bacillus paralicheniformis. RNAcentral describes it as "partial 16S ribosomal RNA". It matches the Rfam family "Bacterial small subunit ribosomal RNA", at positions 1 to 292 of the family's 1533-position model. The record is from RNAcentral. Lineage: Bacteria; Bacillati; Bacillota; Bacilli; Caryophanales; Bacillaceae.
UUCAUGGAGAGUUUGAUCCUGGCUCAGGACGAACGCUGGCGGCGUGCCUAAUACAUGCAAGUCGAGCGGACAGAUGGGAGCUUGCUCCCUGAUGUUAGCGGCGGACGGGUGAGUAACACGUGGGUAACCUGCCUGUAAGACUGGGAUAACUCCGGGAAACCGGGGCUAAUACCGGAUGCUUAAUUGAACCGCAUGGUUCAAUUAUAAAAGGUGGCUUUUAGCUACCACUUACAGAUGGACCCGCGGCGCAUUAGCUAGUUGGUGAGGUAACGGCUCACCAAGGCGACGAUGCGUAGCCGACC